UGGUGUGUCCACACCCACUACGAGCUCUUCCCGGGACUUAGGGACGGAGCGGGGAGGACAGCCUGGAGGGCCCACCUGUGCCUUUGUACGACCUGGGGGAGUGUCAGCUAAGCCCGCUGGACCCGCCGGUCUCCGGCGCCCUCAUGUGGCCCUACGCUCCCCGCGGUGCGAUGGCGGCGCUGGUGACCCCGGCGCAGGUGGUGGUGACCUUUAAGAAUGUGGCUGUGACCAAGAGGAGUGGGGACAACUUGACCUGGACCAGAAGACUCUGUACCAGGAGGUGAUGCUGGAGACCUGUGAGCUACUGUUCUCACUGGGCUACCAAUCCUGAGUGGACCUCCCAACCCAUUGAUGACCUUCGUCAGAACAAGAAAAACUUCCCUGGGUCAGAAGCAGAUGACAUCUGAGUAGACAGCUCAUCGCAAGAGUCGAGACCAGUCCUGUAACCCCAACUUUGUUGAUAGUUUCAGACUGUUUUUCUUUUUGUUAACUGAGGUACCUAUACACUUGACUUUGUCACACUGAGGGUCAAUAAGCCUUUUUACCCCUUCCUCAUGUUUUCUUUAAUCCUGAUAAUCCUAAUAUUGGAAUUAUUCAUCUGUCAUAAAAUCUUUACCUUGAGGAAUGACAAAUUGAAAUUGUAAUGGUGUAAUCAUACUCAGGUGUACAAAAUGGAGUUGAGCAGCCAUUGAGGAUCAGAUCUCAGACACAUCCCGGCAUCACUGAGAAUUUGAACUUUCUUUAAAUUGUACCAAACCCAAGGACACCAUCAGCCAUAUUUAGAACACCCAGAAGCUUCACCCUUUUUGUCUAAAAUUUCCCCUUGUAACUCUGCAACCAUUUUGGACCCCAACCAAUCCUUGUUAACAAGCAGCCUUAUUUCUUGCUUGCUCCAAUUAUAAUUCCUGACAGACAACUAUGUAACUCACUAUGGCCUUGCAGUUUUUGCCUUCCAUUUUAACCUUUCUCCAUUUUGUAGUAUAGUAGAAUACAAUUCACAUGCUCCUUGACUCUGUGUGUCCUGGACUAAAUACAUUUUGGGGGGUGGGGGAUGGCUUGCGGGAUCUUGGUUCCCUGACCAGGGAUUGAACCCCCACCCUUGGCAGUGAAAGGGCAGAGUCCUAAACACUGGACUGCCAGGGAAUUCCCUCCUGGACUACAUUCUUAACAAACACCAAAUAAAUGCCUUUUUAUUUCAA
Delphinapterus leucas (beluga whale) is the source of this 1199-nucleotide long non-coding RNA. RefSeq lists it as uncharacterized. The record is from RefSeq and is a predicted model, not a curated record. Lineage: Eukaryota; Metazoa; Chordata; Mammalia; Artiodactyla; Monodontidae.